Molecule: long non-coding RNA, 1511 nt
Filed under: Cricetulus griseus (Chinese hamster)
Lineage: Eukaryota; Metazoa; Chordata; Mammalia; Rodentia; Cricetidae
Description: lncRNA (ENSCGRG00015034134.1)
Source: RNAcentral
AUAACACCAUAGUCUUCUACUCUUCGUAUAUACUAUACAAAUAUAUAAUCCUAUCUGAGACAGUCUUCCCCAUACAAGCUUCCCCAUACCUGUGACAACAGGUCUGAAAACCAAACAAAACACCAUCCAUUUGUACUACAUGUUUUUAUUGUAAAUAUUGCUCCUGUUAUAUCUCCAUAAUAAAUUUGGUAAAUUAGGGUACAGGUGAAAUAGAAAAUUACAGUGUGGAAGACUGGGGAUUCAAUUUCCACAGUGACUCUGCUUGCUGACAUCAGGCUGUAUGCCGACCUAAGUCACCCCAUACCAUAAAACAGCAGUAUUUCAAGCCUUGCCUUACCCUGAGAGUCUCCAUUUUGUAAAGAACAUUUGACUAUAUUUUGAGCACAAAUGCAUAGGGUUUCUCUGUGGCAGAGGCAGGCGGAUCUCUGUGAGUUCGAGACCAGCCUAGUCUACAAGAGCUAGUUCCAGGACAGCCUUCUCCCUAAUUUUGACACCUAAGGUUGCUUUAACACUGAUGAGUGGAACAUGUGUUACAGAGGAUAAACCAAUGCUGAAACAAAGUACUAAUUACCGAGAACAUCAACCAAAACAGAUCUGUCUCUUCCUGUGUCCUGUGAAACAUUGUAAAUUCAGCACUAUCAAUUCAGUUGUCAGAUAGCACACUACCUCUUGAGUAUGAAGACUGUAUUUGCUGAUCAUCAAUGCAGCAUUGGGAUCUUGACAUGCAGAGAGAUCUCAAAGUCAUGACCUCCUCGGUUUACUCAUCUUUAGAAUCUUUGGGCUACUUUGAAAAAUUCAUAAAAUAUCAUCACAUAGACAUGCGUGCAUUUAUUUUGACGUUUUUAGGCCUUUAGACUUUGCUAUUAUUGGCAUGAAAGAAAGGGCAUAUUUGGUGUUAGUGGUAAAUAGAAACUUUUAUCCCAAAACUAAAGGCAUGCCUUAUAUUUGCUUUUGUUGGAAUGCCUCAUAUUCAUUUUCUCCAUGUAAGAAUUGUUUGCAAGGCUUCAAGAAAGUAAUGUAUCCCAUCUGAGAGUGUUAUGGAUGCUGUAAAGAUAAUCUUUAUAUAGGUAUGGAGUAAAUCUUUCUAGGAGUUUUAGUCCUGUCUUUUCCUGUGUGCUAUAUUUUAACUUUUAAGCUAUUAAAGAUUUGUUCAUCUUUAAAAUAGUAAUUUCUGAUCCAUAAAUAACAAACAAGACAUGAUACUGACAGCAUAGAAAAAAUAAUUGUACAUAGAGGAUGGAGAAAACAGAACAAUAUCAUUUGAUUCCUUCUCAUUCCCAGGAGGUGUUUCCCCAUUCUGAACUUAGGAACAAGACAGGCAACCAAAGAAAGAUUUAGUAGCCUUUGCUACCUAUGCACAAAUUACUUUAUUUAGUUUAAAGCCCAUACAAUGGUGUAUGCUCCUAAGUAUUUCAAUAAACAGCAGAAAAUUUCUUGGAUAAGAAAAACUGCCUGUGGUGAUCAGUCUUUUAAACAAAAGCAGUGUAAUAAAAUUUACUGGCAAUAUUAGG